CACUUGAGGCAGACCGAGGGUUUCUUGAACGCACAAUUAACUCACUUAGAUAUGGAGAGGAGGGACUGAAGUUCAUUGAACAGAUAGCUUCCCACCUGGGGGAAUUACGGAAGGUCAGGAUAAGAAGAGAUCAAACUUCAGCUUGAGCAUGUAUAAUCCCUUCACAAAUGUGGCAUGCGAAAUGGAGAUGAUGUUCCAGAAGGCAGAAGCUGGACUGUACGAUAGCCAGUAUAUGUAUUGUAUUGAAGAUUGUGUAUGAAGUGUACAGAAAUACUAGCUCGUUUCCUCUCAACACAAAGAAAAUGAUAGGAUUUGACCACAUACCCCAUAUACAGUUGGUCGUUUUUCUCCCUUCCCCGUCUUUUUUGGGGUCUGACAUAUUUCACUUUUUACCUUGGAAGAAGUAUGUAGAGUUGGUGAGCCUUUUCUUGUUUUCCUCAUUAAAUUUGAGUGGGUGUUUAUUCAUUUGGUUUUUUUUUCUUCAACUUCUUUUCUUUUCCAUUUUUGGUUUCUGGAGUGGAUGAGUGAUUGCACUGUAAAACGGGUGAUUAUUGUGUGUAAACUGUAAAUUAUACUGUUGUGACCAAUAAGAAGGUUGAUGCCAUUUU
Non-coding RNA from Prunus mume (Japanese apricot), 608 nucleotides. NCBI's taxonomy places the organism in Eukaryota, Viridiplantae, Streptophyta, Magnoliopsida, Rosales, Rosaceae. The record is from RefSeq and is a predicted model, not a curated record.